This 486-nucleotide small RNA is filed under the name Sordariomycetes sp. 1280 FbB. RNAcentral's name for it is "eukaryotic LSU rRNA". The stretch from base 174 to 327 matches the Rfam family "5.8S ribosomal RNA". Lineage: Eukaryota; Fungi; Ascomycota; Sordariomycetes. The record is from RNAcentral.
AUUAGAAGCGAAGGCUACUUAAAACCAUCGCGAACUCGUCCAAGUUGCUUCGGCGGCGCGGCCUCCCUCACGGGGGCGCCGCAGCCCCGCCUCUCCGGAGGUGUGGGGCGCCCGCCGGAGGUACGAAACUCUGUAUUAUAGUGGCAUCUCUGAGUAAAAAACAAAUAAGUUAAAACUUUCAACAACGGAUCUCUUGGUUCUGGCAUCGAUGAAGAACGCAGCGAAAUGCGAUAAGUAAUGUGAAUUGCAGAAUUCAGUGAAUCAUCGAAUCUUUGAACGCACAUUGCGCCCGCUAGUACUCUAGCGGGCAUGCCUGUUCGAGCGUCAUUUCAACCCUCAAGCCCUGCUUGGUGUUGGGGCCCUACGGCUGCCGUAGGCCCUGAAAGGAAGUGGCGGGCUCGCUACAACUCCGAGCGUAGUAAUUCAUUAUCUCGCUAGGGACGUUGCGGCGCGCUCCUGCCGUUAAAGACCAUCUUUAACUCAAGG